UAGGGAAUCUUCCACAAUGGACGCAAGUCUGAUGGAGCAACGCCGCGUGAGUGAAGAAGGUUUUCGGAUCGUAAAGCUCUGUUGUUGGUGAAGAAGGAUAGAGGCAGUAACUGGUCUUUAUUUGACGGUAAUCAACCAGAAAGUCACGGCUAACUACGUGCCAGCAGCCGCGGUAAUACGUAGGUGGCAAGCGUUGUCCGGAUUUAUUGGGCGUAAAGCGAGCGCAGGCGGAGUGAUAAGUCUGAUGUGAAAGCCCACGGCUCAACCGUGGAACUGCAUCGGAAACUGUCAUUCUUGAGUGCAGAAGAGGAGAGUGGAAUUCCAUGUGUAGCGGUGGAAUGCGUAGAUAUAUGGAAGAACACCAGUGGCGAAGGCGGCUCUCUGGUCUGCAACUGACGCUGAGGCUCGAAAGCAUGGGUAGCGAACAGG
Molecule: ribosomal RNA, 429 nt
Filed under: bacterium
Lineage: Bacteria
Description: partial 16S ribosomal RNA
Rfam family: Bacterial small subunit ribosomal RNA
Source: RNAcentral